CCUACGGGUGGCAGCAGUGAGGAAUAUUGGUCAAUGGGCUUACGCCUGAACCAGCCAAGUCGCGUGAGGGAAGACUGCCCGAUGGGUUGUAAACCUCUUUUGUCAGGGCGCAACGCCGGCUACGUGUAGCCGGACUGAGAGUACCUGAAGAAAAAGCAUCGGCUAACUCCGUGCCAGCAGCCGCGGUAAUACGUAGGAUGCGAGCGUUAUCCGGAUUUGUGGGGUUUAAAGGGUGCUUAGGCGGAAGGCCAAUUCAGCGGUAAAAUCGCGGGGCUUAACCUCGCUCCGCCGUUGAAACUGGCUUUCAUGAGUGUGCGAGAAGUAUGCGGAAUGCGUGGUGUAGCGGUG
RNAcentral lists this ribosomal RNA (348 nucleotides) under uncultured bacterium. RNAcentral describes it as "partial 16S ribosomal RNA". It matches the Rfam family "Bacterial small subunit ribosomal RNA", at positions 338 to 683 of the family's 1533-position model. The record is from RNAcentral.